This 251-nucleotide ribosomal RNA is filed under the name uncultured bacterium. RNAcentral's name for it is "partial 16S ribosomal RNA". It matches the Rfam family "Bacterial small subunit ribosomal RNA", at positions 524 to 776 of the family's 1533-position model. The record is from RNAcentral.
UACGUAGGGGGCUAGCGUUGUCCGGAUUUAUUGGGCGUAAAGAGCGUGUAGGCGGCCAGGUAGGUCUGCUGUGAAACUCGAGGCUCAACCUCGAGACGUCGGCUGAACCAUCUGGCUAGAGUCCGGAAGAGGAGAGUGGAAUUCCCGGUGUAGCGGUGAAAUGCGCAGAUAUCGGGAAGAACACCCGUGGCUAAGGCGGCUCUCUAGUACGGUACUGACGCUGAGACGCGAAAGCGUGGGGAGCGAACAGG